Non-coding RNA from Bactrocera oleae (olive fruit fly), 334 nucleotides. Lineage: Eukaryota; Metazoa; Arthropoda; Insecta; Diptera; Tephritidae. The record is from RefSeq and is a predicted model, not a curated record.
CCAUUUGCUUAUAUAUAUGGCGCGAAGAUUACAAAUCCUUGAGCGGAAAGUGCAGAAUUCUGUAACCAUGGAUAAUCUAUGUCUGUAACUUAGCUGUAGCUGGAGUUGGACAUAUUCUUGUGAAAAAAACACUGAAGAAAUGUAACAUUCACAAUUUCUUUUACGCAGCGAUGGUAUGGACGAAUAUAGGAGAUCGUCGAUCUCCUUUUCGCACUAGCGAUCUUCGACCACGCUUCAAAAAAAAAAUCUGUCCGUCGAUUCCGGGAUUUCAAUAGUUCUUUUAUAUCGAAAUCCUUUUAGCACGCAAAAGAACUAUGGACACAAAGUAGAAUUA